UGAAUCUCAUGCAGAUCGUUUAUUCGGGCACAAAAAUAUUGUGCUUCUUCCUCCUUUUUGAUAAUGACAUUUAUGAAAUUGGCCUAGGGCGGGAAUCAAAAUGACCCAGCACCCCCCCAAAUAAAAAGAAAAUAAAAAAUCAAAGAUGCCAAAGUUGGGCCAGGGACAGUUUGGUCAAUACGAAAAACACCGGACGGUUAUUUCCAGGAAACGACCUCCCAGGAACUCCAAAACAGGGGACCGACCGUGUCCCUUGCCCCCGUCGAAACCCUAUAAAGCUCCGCAAACCUCGUCUCCCUCGACCCCAUAGCGGUCGUCGUCAAUCCUCGUAUCUCGUCCGAAACACCAAGCCUCGCCUCGGUUCUUUGAGCGCCGGCAACAGAGCAGGAGGAGGAAGAAGAAGAAGAAGAAGAAUGAUCGAUCAGUACAUCUUCUCGGUGGGCAAGCAGCGGUCGGUGAAGAAGCCCCGGAAGAAGACGGGCUUCGGGAAGCGCUGCCUCCGGAUGGCGAAGCAGCAGAAGACGCGCGUCUACAUCCUGUACCGCUGCACUUACAUGCUCCUCUGCUGGCGCGACCACUCCGUCUCCGAUUGAAAUCCGGUUCCCACCUCACCCCCCCAUCGCGGACUCAUGCCGUGACCCUUUUUUCCGAGAACGAUCGGAGGGAGAAAGGGUGUGGAAUUCGGAGCUCCGGUUGAAGAUUCAGCCGCGCCCGUCGCGGAAGACUCGAUUUUUCCCCAGGACCCGCCGGCCUCCGUUUCUUGAAGACAGAGAGAAAGAGAAAACAGAGGAUCUUUUCGCGGGUCGAAUCGGAGCCGAGUCGACGAGGAGCCGCCGCGGAGCAGACGAUCGUCUGGUUCUUGAAGUCGGGUUCGUCUUCGUUUCCGGGAAGACGAACGGGCAAGCUCGCCUCGGUUGAGCACGGCCCCAAGAAAAAUGGCGUCUUGGAGGCCGUCCUGCAACAAGAAACAGAGCAACCCAAGAAUCCCCGCACCAGUCGCCGGAAAAAAGCGGCGACGAUAAAAUGUGUAUAUAAAUGAAAUUAUAAUGAAAUGUUCGGUUGCGUUUCUCUGCGUCUGUUGAUGAUUUCUUGUCUUUUGCGAAGAUGGGACAUGCUGAUGAUUAGAGUUUUGAUUUUUCUUGGACGUCGUUUCGAGGAUGAAUCGCCUGGGUUGUGUAGUUCCAGAAAUUCGAACAAAUCGUGGAUGAAUUUGGAAGGUGUAAUCGAGCCGGGUGGAGCUAAGGCAGUGCCAACUGGCAACUGCCAAGCUCGGAAAAACAAUUAAAAUUUCGGAAGGUGAGCUGUUUCGAAUUAAGUAUGCUUAAUAAGUAUUUUUAGGUAUUACUAAACGCAAUCUUAUUGGAAAUUAUCAAUAGAUCCUCUAUCUUUGGAAGGACUUCAAAAUUGUUUUUAUACUUUUCUUCAAUUUGAAAUUGUCCAUGUG
This 1444-nucleotide long non-coding RNA is filed under the name Eucalyptus grandis. RNAcentral's name for it is "long non-coding RNA (EGRA_LNC002079)". Lineage: Eukaryota; Viridiplantae; Streptophyta; Magnoliopsida; Myrtales; Myrtaceae. The record is from RNAcentral.